RNAcentral lists this ribosomal RNA (392 nucleotides) under uncultured Methanomicrobiales archaeon. RNAcentral describes it as "bacterial SSU rRNA". It matches the Rfam family "Archaeal small subunit ribosomal RNA", at positions 946 to 1338 of the family's 1478-position model. The record is from RNAcentral. Lineage: Archaea; Methanobacteriati; Methanobacteriota; Methanomicrobia; Methanomicrobiales.
AAUGAUAGUCGGGCUGAAGACUCUACUUGACUAGCUGAGAGGAGGUGCAUGGCCGUCGUCAGUUCGUACUGUGAAGCAUCCUGUUAAGUCAGGCAACGAGCGAGACCCACGCCAACAGUUGCCAGCUCGUCCUCCGGGAUGGUGGGGACACUGUUGGGACCGCCUCUGCUAAGAGGAGGAAGGAAUGGGCAACGGUAGGUCAGCAUGCCCCGAAUUAUCUGGGCUACACGCGGGCUACAAUGGGUGGGACAAUGGGUAUCGACACCGAAAGGUGAAGGCAAUCUCCUAAACCCAUCCUUAGUUCGGAUUGUGGGCUGCAACUCGCCCACAUGAAGCUGGAAUCUGUAGUAAUCGUGUUUCAAAAUAGCACGGUGAAUAUGUCCCUGCUCCUU